AGCUUUGCGCAGUGGCAGUAUCGUAGCCAAUGAGGUUUAUCCAAGGUGCAAUUAUUGCUAAUUGAAACCUUUUCUUUAAAAGUAUGGAGUAAACACACAGUCUUGUCUCACACUGAAUGCAGCUACAAUAUGUGGACAGAAUUCAUGAAGCAGUUAUUUGAGGACU
RNAcentral lists this small nuclear RNA (166 nucleotides) under Neogale vison (American mink). RNAcentral's name for it is "Neovison vison (American mink) U4 spliceosomal RNA (ENSNVIG00000006258.1)". It matches the Rfam family "U4 spliceosomal RNA". From Rfam's summary of the family: U4 small nuclear RNA (U4 snRNA) is a component of the major U2-dependent spliceosome. The structure of U4 snRNA from yeast and human has been reported. Lineage: Eukaryota; Metazoa; Chordata; Mammalia; Carnivora; Mustelidae. The record is from RNAcentral.